AAGACCUUGCGCUUUUGGAGCGGCCGAUGCCUGAUUAGCUUGUUGGUAAGGUAAAAGCUUACCAAGGCUUCGAUCAGUAGCUGGUCUGAGAGGACGGCCAGCCACACUGGGACUGAGACACGGCCCAGACUCCUACGGGAGGCAGCAGUGGGGAAUUUUGGACAAUGGGGGCAACCCUGAUCCAGCCAUGCCGCGUGAGUGAAGAAGGCCUUCGGGUUGUAAAGCUCUUUCAGCCGGAACGAAACGGUUACGGUUAAUACCCGUGAUUACUGACGGUACCGGAAGAAGAAGCACCGGCUAACUACGUGCCAGCAGCCGCGGUAAUACGUAGGGUGCGAGCGUUAAUCAGAAUUACUGGGCGUAAAGCGUGCGCAGGUGGUUUUGUAAGUCAGAUGUGAAAGCCCCGGGCUCAACCUGGGAACU
RNAcentral lists this ribosomal RNA (423 nucleotides) under uncultured bacterium. Its description in RNAcentral is "bacterial SSU rRNA". It matches the Rfam family "Bacterial small subunit ribosomal RNA", at positions 207 to 622 of the family's 1533-position model. The record is from RNAcentral.